GUACACUCCUGCGGGAGGCAGCAGUGGGGAAUUUUGGACAAUGGGGGCAACCCUGAUCCAGCAAUGCCGCGUGAGUGAAGAAGGCCUUCGGGUUGUAAAGCUCUUUUGUCAGGGAAGAAACGGUAGUAGCGAAUAACUAUUACUAAUGACGGUACCUGAAGAAUAAGCACCGGCUAACUACGUGCCAGCAGCCGCGGUAAUACGUAGGGUGCAAGCGUUAAUCGGAAUUACUGGGCGUAAAGCGUGCGCAGGCGGUUGUGUAAGUCAGAUGUGAAAUCCCCGGGCUCAACCUGGGAAUUGCAUUUGAGACUGCACGGCUAGAGUGUGUCAGAGGGGGGUAGAAUUCCACGUGUAGCAGUGAAAUGCGUAGAUAUGUGGAGGAAUACCGAUGGCGAAGGCAGCCCCCUGGGAUAACACUGACGCUCAUGCACGAAAGCGUGGGGAGCAAACAGGAUUAGAAACCCCAGUAGUCCCAUG
RNAcentral lists this ribosomal RNA (477 nucleotides) under uncultured organism. RNAcentral describes it as "partial 16S ribosomal RNA". It matches the Rfam family "Bacterial small subunit ribosomal RNA", at positions 331 to 799 of the family's 1533-position model. The record is from RNAcentral.